UACGUAGGUGGCAAGCGUUGUCCGGAAUUAUUGGGCGUAAAGCGCGCGCAGGCGGUCCUUUAAGUCUGAUGUGAAAGCCCACGGCUCAACCGUGGAGGGUCAUUGGAAACUGGGGGACUUGAGUACAGAAGAGAAGAGUGGAAUUCCACGUGUAGCGGUGAAAUGCGUAGAUAUCGGGAGGAACACCAGUGGCGAAGGCGACUUUCUGGCCUGUUCUUGACGCUGAGGCGCGAAAGCUAGGGGAGCAAACGGG
Molecule: ribosomal RNA, 253 nt
Filed under: uncultured bacterium
Lineage: Bacteria
Description: partial 16S ribosomal RNA
Rfam family: Bacterial small subunit ribosomal RNA
Source: RNAcentral